ACCCCCACAAGUCGGUUGCUUAAGCAACACCCCAGUAGAACCGGCAGAGGAGACACAAGCAGAAAACUAAACGGGCCAGAUGUGGCGCUGACUAAGCGGGCUCCAGUCCGCUGCAAGACGCGCUGAGCAGGAAGUCCCACAGCCGCCCAGGCGCUGCCACUCCAGCCAGAGCUAGUACUCAUGGGCGCCAGACAAGCUGAUGACGAUAAUACGCCACGCCAGCGCCUGGAAAGAAAAGCCGCCCAGAAGGAAAUCUAGGGGGCCUGCACAGGUGAUGCAAGCGUCAGCCGCAAGUUCAACUU
RNAcentral lists this long non-coding RNA (302 nucleotides) under Chlamydomonas reinhardtii. RNAcentral describes it as "long non-coding RNA (CREI_LNC000322)". The record is from RNAcentral. Lineage: Eukaryota; Viridiplantae; Chlorophyta; Chlorophyceae; Chlamydomonadales; Chlamydomonadaceae.